This 794-nucleotide ribosomal RNA is filed under the name Lentithecium sp. RNAcentral's name for it is "partial large subunit ribosomal RNA". It matches the Rfam family "Eukaryotic large subunit ribosomal RNA", at positions 126 to 932 of the family's 3401-position model. Lineage: Eukaryota; Fungi; Ascomycota; Dothideomycetes; Pleosporales; Lentitheciaceae. The record is from RNAcentral.
CCUCCUUCGGUGGUCCGAGUUGUAAUUUGCAGAGGGUGCUUUGGCGUCGGCAGCGGUCUAAGUUCCUUGGAACAGGACAUCACAGAGGGUGAGAAUCCCGUACGUGGUCGCCUGCCUUCGCCGUGUAAAGCCCCUUCGACGAGUCGAGUUGUUUGGGAAUGCAGCUCUAAAUGGGAGGUAAAUUUCUUCUAAAGCUAAAUACUGGCCAGAGACCGAUAGCGCACAAGUAGAGUGAUCGAAAGAUGAAAAGCACUUUGGAAAGAGAGUCAAACAGCACGUGAAAUUGUUGAAAGGGAAGCGCUUGCAGCCAGACUUGCCCGCAGUUGCUCAUCGGAACUCUUGCUCCGAGCACUCUUCUGCGGGCAGGCCAGCAUCAGUUUGGGCGACCGGAUAAAGGCCUCUGUCAUGUAUCUUCCUUCGGGAUGACCUUAUAGGGGAGGCGUAAUGCGGCCAGCCCGGACUGAGGUCCGCGCAUCUGCUAGGAUGCUGGCGUAAUGGCUGUAAGCGGCCCGUCUUGAAACACGGACCAAGGAGUCUAACAUCUAUGCGAGUGUUUGGGUGUCAAGCCCGGGCGCGUAAUGAAAGUGAACGGAGGUGGGAACCCUCUCGCGGGGGUGCACCAUCGACCGAUCCUGAUGUCUUCGGAUGGAUUUGAGUAAGAGCAUAGCUGUUGGGACCCGAAAGAUGGUGAACUAUGCUUGAAUAGGGUGAAGCCAGAGGAAACUCUGGUGGAGGCUCGCAGCGGUUCUGACGUGCAAAUCGAUCGUCAAAUUUGGGCAUAGGGGCGAAAGACU